AGAGUUUGAUCCUGGCUCAGGCUGAACGCUGGCGGCGUGCUUUAUACAUGCAAGUCGAACGAGGUCCAUGGAGCUUGCUCCGGACGACCUAGUGGCGAACGGGUGCGUAACACGUGAGGAACCUGUCCCGAUCACUGGGAUAACAGUUGGAAACGACUGCUAAUACCGGAUACCGCCGGUGCACCGCAUGGUGCGCCGAUGAAAGGGUUCACUGGAUCGGGAGGGUCUCGCGGCCUAUCAGCUUGUUGGAGAGGUAACGGCUCACCAAGGCAUCGACGGGUAGCUGGUCUGAGAGGAUGAUCAGCCACACUGGGACUGAGACACGGCCCAGACUCCUACGGGAGGCAGCAGUAAGGAAUCUUGCACAAUGGGCGAAAGCCUGAUGCAGCAACGCCGCGUGCGGGAAGACGGCCCUAGGGUUGUAAACCGCUUUCAGCAGGGAAGAAAAUGACGGUACCUGCAGAAGAAGGUGCGGCCAACUACGUGCCAGCAGCCGCGGUGACACGUAGGCACCAAGCGUUAUCCGGAUUUAUUGGGCGUAAAGAGCUCGUAGGCGGUUCGGUAAGUCGGGUGUGAAAACUCUGGGCUCAC
This 591-nucleotide ribosomal RNA is filed under the name uncultured Actinomycetes bacterium. Its description in RNAcentral is "bacterial SSU rRNA". It matches the Rfam family "Bacterial small subunit ribosomal RNA", at positions 8 to 612 of the family's 1533-position model. The record is from RNAcentral. Lineage: Bacteria; Bacillati; Actinomycetota; Actinomycetes.